Molecule: ribosomal RNA, 475 nt
Filed under: uncultured bacterium
Lineage: Bacteria
Description: bacterial SSU rRNA
Rfam family: Bacterial small subunit ribosomal RNA
Source: RNAcentral
GACGAACCGCUGGCGGCGUGCCUAACACAUGCAAGUCGAGCGGGGUUGAAGCGAGGGUAACUCGGACUUCUACCUAGCGGCGGACGGGUGAGUAACACGUGGGUAACCUACCUGGAAGACAGGGAUAACGAUUCGAAAGGGUCGCUAAUACCUGAUAAUAUCCAUCUGCCGGAUGGCGGAGGGAAGAAAGGGGAAACCCGCUUUCAGAUGGGCCCGCGUCCCAUCAGCUAGUUGGUAAGGUAAAGGCUUACCAAGGCGACGACGGAUAGCCGGUCUGAGAGGAUGUACGGCCACACUGGGACUGAGAUACGGCCCAGACUCCUACGGGAGGCAGCAGUUGGGAAUCUUAGGCAAUGGACGAAAGUCUGACCUAGCGACGCCGCGUGAGGGAAGAAGGCCUUCGGGUUGUAAACCUCUGUCAUGGGGGAAGAAGGAAGUGACGGUACCCCAAGAGGAAGCCCCUGCUAACUACGUG